GAUGAACGCUGGCGGCGUGCCUAAUACAUGCAAGUCGAGCGAACAGACGAGGAGCUUGCUCCUCUGACGUUAGCGGCGGACGGGUGAGUAACACGUGGAUAACCUACCUAUAAGACUGGGAUAACUUCGGGAAACCGGAGCUAAUACCGGAUAAUAUAUUGAACCGCAUGGUUCAAUAGUGAAAGACGGUUUUGCUGUCACUUAUAGAUGGAUCCGCGCCGCAUUAGCUAGUUGGUAAGGUAACGGCUUACCAAGGCAACGAUGCGUAGCCGACCUGAGGGGGUGAUCGGCCACACUGGAACUGAGACACGGUCCAGACUCCUACGGGAGGCAGCAGUAGGGAAUCUUCCGAAAUGGGCGAAAGCCUGACGGAGCAACGCCGCGUGAGUGAUGAAGGUCUUCGGAUCGUAAAACUCUGUUAUUAGGGAAGAACAAAUGUGUAAGUAACUAUGCACGUCUUAACGGUACCUAAUCAGAAAGCCACGGCUAACUACGU
This 496-nucleotide ribosomal RNA is filed under the name uncultured bacterium. RNAcentral's name for it is "partial 16S ribosomal RNA". It matches the Rfam family "Bacterial small subunit ribosomal RNA", at positions 28 to 506 of the family's 1533-position model. The record is from RNAcentral.